GGGGUUGUGGCGCAAAGGCAGCGCACCCGGCUUUUACCCGGAGAGAUGAGGGUUCGAGUCCCUCUGACCCCA
This 72-nucleotide transfer RNA is filed under the name Myxococcales bacterium. RNAcentral's name for it is "tRNA-Lys". It matches the Rfam family "tRNA". From Rfam's summary of the family: Transfer RNA (tRNA) molecules are approximately 80 nucleotides in length. Their secondary structure includes four short double-helical elements and three loops (D, anti-codon, and T loops). Lineage: Bacteria; Pseudomonadati; Myxococcota; Myxococcia; Myxococcales. The record is from RNAcentral.